RNAcentral lists this non-coding RNA (26 nucleotides) under Rattus norvegicus (Norway rat). The record is from RNAcentral. Lineage: Eukaryota; Metazoa; Chordata; Mammalia; Rodentia; Muridae.
UGGCUGCUCUUGGUGUCCCUCGACUU